AUUUGACCAUGAUGCAAAAUAGAAAAUUGUCAAUACAGAAGGUAUACAUUCAUGCAUCUCCCCUUUCAUGAGCGGCUUGUUUGACCAUGCCACUCAAAAGAAGUGCUGGUAAAAGGCGGCAAGUACCAGCCUAACACAACAACAGUAAACUGCAUCAGCAUGAAUGUAUACAAGCUUUGAAUUAUGUCAUAGCAGUUCCCACUGGUAUAUAGUUUCAUACUUAGUUUGUUUACAAGAUUUGUCAUAAAUUAUCGGUAUUAUAUUAAGAAUUUGAGUUGGUGAAAUUUACUCAACCGGGCUUGACUACUUAAUAUAAGUAGAGUAAAUGUUGUCAUUUACCGGCAGUGCUGAGUAAAUUAUACUGAUCUUCUUGAGUAAAGCUGUUGUUUACUCUUUACUCAAAAUUUGAGUACAUCUCUUCUCACGAUUUUGAGUAAAUUCUUCAUUUACUCAAAAUUGAGUAAAAAUGUGUAUUUACUCAAAAUAUUGAGUUGGUGACAUUUACUCAACCCUUGAGUAAAGUACAUUUUGUCAUGUACUCAGUGUGGAGUAAUUUAUACUCUUCUCUUUAAGUAGCAGUUACUCAAAGAAUUUUACUCAAAAUUCGGAGUUGUUGUUUACUCACGUUUAUGAGUAAAGAGUGCAAUAUACUCAAAUUAUUGAGUAAUUGGUGCAAUUACUCAAAAAAUGAGUAACAUUUACUCAAAUGAAAAAAUGCAUUUUUUGCAGUGCGUGGAGCACUAAUGACUACUGUUUUGGUGAGCCUCCUUAAAACAGCUGUAUAUUAAGAACUCAUUACAUGUAAAUGUAUGUUACUCCGUGUUGGUCAACACUAGCAAGCUGACUGAGAUCGCUUGAGGGCGUUGAGAACCUAGCCCGCGGUCCUUCGGUUUUCUGGUUCAAUCCCCUACCACUUGGAAUAUUACAGUAUAUUGCCUCUGUAUUCAAUGAGGCAGCUACGGAUUGAGAGAUACAACUACCUUAAAAUGUAUGCAGAACUUCCGAUCGACGUUUCGAGCAAAGACCCUCGUCGGAAAGUUAAUUUGUAAUAUACCGUACACAGGGUUCGUAGCGGCCUUUGAAAUCCUUGAAAGUCUUUAAAUUUGAAUGCAGGUCUUUAAGGUCUUUGAAAAAUCUUUGAAUUGUGUGAAAAAGCGAACAAAGUCUUUAAAAGUCGUUAAAUUCUUUAGUGAGUAUUUGAUUAUACGAUUUCUUAGCUAAUAAAAUGAUUGAUUGAAGAAAAGUUUUCGCAAUAUGGACGAAAAAGUGCAUUUUAGGAUGUGAUUUGACGGGACUAAUUACCUGGUAAAAAUGGUGGGGCCUCAGUGGCACAGUAGUGGAGUUUUGGUGGCGCUGUCGUCAGAACAAGCGUCUUUCAUCUCUGAGAUCCUGGCUUCGAUUUUCGCUACGGACUCGUGUGAAAAGUGUCUCCAUGUCGUCGUUCUGCCGAAAGUCGUGGGUUUUCUCCAGGCUCUCCGGUUUCCUGCCACAGGGAAAGUUGAGAGGAUGGAUUAGGAUAACACAGUUGGAACUGCAAUAUUACAGUUGUUGUAAAGAUAAAUUGUCUAAGCUAAGUAUAAGUAGUACAGGUAAGCAUAAUACUUGAUGUAAUCGGUCACUGAAAGUGUAAAGCCCCGAAGGGUCAUGGGGAGUGAGCCGAAUAAUGAUAAUGUAUGAAACUAGAAUUUGACCGUAUUAUGUAAUGACGUGUUUAACCCAAUGUAGGUAUUGUUUGUCUGCCUUGGUGGAUUUGCCGGAUAUGUGGCGGCCCGAAUCUACAAAUGUAAGUUUAUAUACGGUCGAAGCUGUAUUAAUAAGCCAUGCUUGUAUAAGGAAUUGUUUUUAGUCAAUUCAAUGUCAUGUAUAUAUAUGUACGUAUUCAUGUUCUGUUUGUUUCCUCUGUAGUAUUUGGUGGUGAACGAUGGAAAACCAACGUCCUAAUGACUUGCUUUUUGUUUCCUGGGU
Molecule: long non-coding RNA, 1965 nt
Filed under: Paramuricea clavata
Lineage: Eukaryota; Metazoa; Cnidaria; Anthozoa; Malacalcyonacea; Plexauridae
Source: RNAcentral